UUGAUUUCAGUGGCUACAUUC
Molecule: non-coding RNA, 21 nt
Filed under: Arabidopsis thaliana (thale cress)
Lineage: Eukaryota; Viridiplantae; Streptophyta; Magnoliopsida; Brassicales; Brassicaceae
Source: RNAcentral